AACGAACGCUGGCGGCAUGCCUAACACAUGCAAGUCGAACGAGACCUUCGGGUCUAGUGGCGCACGGGUGCGUAACGCGUGGGAACCUGCCCUUAGGUUCGGAAUAACUCCCCGAAAGGGGUGCUAAUACCGGAUAAUGUCUUCGGACCAAAGAUUUAUCGCCUUUGGAUGGGCCCGCGUUGGAUUAGCUAGUUGGUAGGGUAAAAGCCUACCAAGGCGACGAUCCAUAGCUGGUCUGAGAGGAUGAUCAGCCACACUGGGACUGAGACACGGCCCAGACUCCUACGGGAGGCAGCAGUGGGGAAUAUUGGACAAUGGGCGAAAGCCUGAUCCGGCAAUGCCGCGUGAGUGAUGAAGGCCUUAGGGUUGUAAAGCUCCUUUACCCGGGAUGAUAAUGACAGUACCGGGAGAAUAAGCUCCGGCUAACUACGUG
This 433-nucleotide ribosomal RNA is filed under the name uncultured bacterium. Its description in RNAcentral is "partial 16S ribosomal RNA". It matches the Rfam family "Bacterial small subunit ribosomal RNA", at positions 29 to 507 of the family's 1533-position model. The record is from RNAcentral.